UACGGAGGGUGCGAGCGUUGCUCGGAAUCACUGGGCGUAAAGGGUGCGUAGGCGGGUCUUUAAGUCAGGGGUGAAAUCCUGGAGCUCAACUCCAGAACUGCCUUUGAUACUGAGGAUCUUGAGUACGGGAGAGGUGAGUGGAACUGCGAGUGUAGAGGUGAAAUUCGUAGAUAUUCGCAAGAACACCAGUGGCGAAGGCGGCUCACUGGCCCGUUACUGACGCUGAGGCACGAAAGCGUGGGGAGCAAACAGG
Molecule: ribosomal RNA, 253 nt
Filed under: uncultured bacterium
Lineage: Bacteria
Description: partial 16S ribosomal RNA
Rfam family: Bacterial small subunit ribosomal RNA
Source: RNAcentral